CCUCCAGAAAACAGAACACACCCACCAGCAAGGAUUCGUCGUUCCAGCUCCCAAAGAAAUGUGCAGAGAACAGCCCCCCAGGCCAGUGAGGUACCAGGAUCCAAGAGCAUCUGAGCCAGAAUAACGUCCCGCUAAAGACGUCCGCAUCGUCCUGGCCCGUGACUCUGGUACAACACACAGCAAAGGGACCUGGCAGAGGCAGGUCCAGCCAUGCUCUGAGUCCUCCAGCGUUUCCACCCCGGCCCACCCAGCCUCCUGUUCCAGCUGCAACCCCUGUACCAGGAGCAGCCCUGAGCGCCAGUCCCUGUUCACAGACUCUGGGACCUUAGGAGUCAUCCACCUUCAGCCUGGUCGCUGGUCACUGCCUCCCAAAUGUGCGUGGACCCCAGCCGCUGGCCCCUGGGUCUUCACGUCCAUAAAUGGCCUUCCUAGGGUCAAGACCACGCUUUCCUACAAACUCUGAAUUUACCUCCCUGAUCCAAGAGUCUCUGUUGCCUUGAUUAGGAAAUCUCUACCCUAUCCCAGCCCGUCAGCACCCACCCCGGCCUCUGACAAAGCCCUGGACCAGGCAGGAGCCCUCCCCUGCCGCCUCCGUGGGACGGGAUGUGUAUGCAUUCCGUGAGCGUGAGAAGAUUCACGUUCACACUCGCAAUGAUUCCCUUCAAGCCGACCCCUCAUCCCAGCUGAGGUCUUUCUUCACUCGCCUUUACCAGCCGUGUGAGCUCAGCAACCUCUCCAGGCCUCAGCAUCUCUGCCUGUGAAAUGGGGCCAACGAGAGCCCCCACCCCACGGGGUCGUUGUGCGGAUUAAACACCGCGGUGCCAGCAGACGCCUCACUGCUCUGCGCGCCACAAGUCCGGGAAAU
Vicugna pacos (alpaca) is the source of this 865-nucleotide non-coding RNA. NCBI's taxonomy places the organism in Eukaryota, Metazoa, Chordata, Mammalia, Artiodactyla, Camelidae. The record is from RefSeq and is a predicted model, not a curated record.